This 620-nucleotide ribosomal RNA is filed under the name uncultured bacterium. Its description in RNAcentral is "bacterial SSU rRNA". It matches the Rfam family "Bacterial small subunit ribosomal RNA", at positions 338 to 949 of the family's 1533-position model. The record is from RNAcentral.
CCUACGGGAGGCAGCAGUAGGGAAUCUUCCGCAAUGGACGAAAGUCUGACGGAGCAACGCCGCGUGAACGAUGAAGGCCUUCGGGUCGUAAAGUUCUGUUGUUAGGGAAGAACAAGUGCUAGUUAAAUAAGCUGGCACCUUGACGGUACCUAACCAGAAAGCCACGGCUAACUACGUGCCAGCAGCCGCGGUAAUACGUAGGUGGCAAGCGUUGUCCGGAAUUAUUGGGCGUAAAGCGCGCGCAGGCGGUUUCUUAAGUCUGAUGUGAAAGCCCCCGGCUCAACCGGGGAGGGUCAUUGGAAACUGGGAAACUUGAGUGCAGAAGAGGAAAGUGGAAUUCCAAGUGUAGCGGUGAAAUGCGUAGAGAUUUGGAGGAACACCAGUGGCGAAGGCGACUUUCUGGUCUGUAACUGACGCUGAGGCGCGAAAGCGUGGGGAGCAAACAGGAUUAGAUACCCUGGUAGUCCACGCUGUAAACGAUGAGUGCUAAGUGUUAGAGGGUUUCCGCCCUUUAGUGCUGAAGUUAACGCAUUAAGCACUCCGCCUGGGGAGUACGGUCGCAAGACUGAAACUCGAAAUGAAGUUGACGGCNGAGACGAGCGAGACGACGAGAGGGAGAG